AAACUGGAGGAAGGUGGGGAUGACGUCAAAUCAUCAUGCCCCUUAUGACCUGGGCUACACACGUACUACAAUGGCCGGUACAACGGGAAGCGAAGUCGCGAGAUGGAGCGAAUCCUUAGAAGCCGGUCUCAGUUCGGAUUGCAGGCUGCAACUCGCCUGCAUGAAGUCGGAAUUGCUAGUAAUCGCGGAUCAGCAUGCCGCGGUGAAUACGUUCCCGGGUCUUGUACACACCGCCCGUCACACCACGAGAGUUUACAACACCCGAAGUCGGUGGGGUAACCGCAAGGAGCCAGCCGCCGAAGGUGGGGUAGAUGAUUGGGGG
RNAcentral lists this ribosomal RNA (322 nucleotides) under Paenibacillus validus. RNAcentral's name for it is "bacterial SSU rRNA". It matches the Rfam family "Bacterial small subunit ribosomal RNA", at positions 1160 to 1481 of the family's 1533-position model. Lineage: Bacteria; Bacillati; Bacillota; Bacilli; Caryophanales; Paenibacillaceae. The record is from RNAcentral.